CCGAAAAGCUUGAGGAUGUUGCUGGCCUUUCCUUUGCAAAAGGUGGGCAUGUGCACUCCUUGAACGUUUCCAACCCUCACACCUGUGCACCUUUUGUAGGCCUGGCAUGACAAGUGUUUUGGCCUAUGUGUUUUUUUCACACACACACCGUUUGAAUGUCUUUCGAAUGUCUUGUUAUCUUUAUGAUAAAUAAAAAACA
RNAcentral lists this unclassified non-coding RNA (199 nucleotides) under uncultured Hygrophoraceae. Its description in RNAcentral is "sequence contains ITS1". The record is from RNAcentral. Lineage: Eukaryota; Fungi; Basidiomycota; Agaricomycetes; Agaricales; Hygrophoraceae.